Long non-coding RNA from Felis catus (domestic cat), 792 nucleotides. RefSeq lists it as uncharacterized. The transcript has 2 exons. The record is from RefSeq and is a predicted model, not a curated record. Lineage: Eukaryota; Metazoa; Chordata; Mammalia; Carnivora; Felidae.
CCGCCCUCACCUCUUGCGAACCGACGCCCCGAAUUUCCCUCCCGUUCCCCGCCAGCCCGCAGGCUGUGACAACAGUGGAGGGGCGGUAAGUUCGCCAGCGCCUAGUGCGCGGCGAAGCCCCGGCUGGCCUGAGUUUCUGGAAACUACGUGCGGGUGAAGAUGGAAGAACGGGGAGAGGGAGACUCUCCGAAGGGCAGCCUCUUCUGGCGCGCCGGGAGCCGUGACGGGCUGGGGAGUGCACCGCGGGGUGCUCCCACCUGCGGGCGCCACCGCCUCCCGGCCCGUCUGCCCCCUAGGGGAGGCCACCGUGGGACGAGAACCGGGAGCCGCGUGUUGCCCUGUGAAGACCCGGGACGGUUGUGGUUUGCUUGUUUCAACUACCAGGAAGUCUUCCCGGCUCUCGGGCGCGCCCCCUGUGCGGCCCCCGGUUCACUCCGAAAGCAAAACUCCUCGCUGAAUUGAUGCCCAAUCAGAGCUGGCUUGGCCUUGACCCGCCCUUGGUUCCCUGGGUGACUCUGGGGGCCUCCGUUCACUUGAUCCUGUGACUGUCAGGUUUAUAAUUAAUCGAAGUCUUACAGACGAAUUUCUCAUCAGUUUCUGGCUCAGAAAGAGAUCAGCGGGAUGCAUUAUUACAUCGACGCCCUGAAAUGUUACUCAUUUGAUAAAGUGAUCAUUUAUUAAAUAUCCACCUUGAUAUGUCAAAGAGGGCCCCAGCAGGUUACCUGGGUUUUUGCCCAGCAGGCAAAAAAAGAAAAAGAAAAAAAGGCUUAGAAUAAAACACUGUACUGUGAA